UACGGAGGUGGCAAACGUUGUUCGGAUUCAUUGGGUGUAAAGGGUAUGUAGGUGGCCUUGCAAGUCGGAUGUGAAAUCCUUUGGCUUAACCAAAGAACUGCAUUCGAAACUGCUUGGCUUGAGUUUGGGAGAGGAGAAUGGAAUUCCCGGUGUAAGAGUGAAAUCUGUAGAUAUCGGGAGGAACACCAGUAGCGAAAGCGAUUCUCUGGCCUAAAACUGACGCUGAAAUACGAAAGCUAGGGGAGCAAACAGG
This 253-nucleotide ribosomal RNA is filed under the name uncultured bacterium. RNAcentral's name for it is "partial 16S ribosomal RNA". It matches the Rfam family "Bacterial small subunit ribosomal RNA", at positions 524 to 776 of the family's 1533-position model. The record is from RNAcentral.